UCCCUGGUGGCUCAGUGGUAAAAAAGCUUCCUGCAAUGCAGGAGAUCCAGGUUCAAUCCCUGGUUUGGGAA
Molecule: non-coding RNA, 71 nt
Organism: Bos taurus (domestic cattle)
Lineage: Eukaryota; Metazoa; Chordata; Mammalia; Artiodactyla; Bovidae
Source: Rfam